Molecule: long non-coding RNA, 480 nt
Filed under: Oryctolagus cuniculus (rabbit)
Lineage: Eukaryota; Metazoa; Chordata; Mammalia; Lagomorpha; Leporidae
Description: lncRNA (ENSOCUG00000033610.1)
Source: RNAcentral
AUGCGCGAGUGGCGCCCUUCGCCUUGGCGGAAGUGCCUGCUGGCGGGCAGAGAAGCAAAACUGAAGAGUCUCUUGUGGAUCUACCUCUCUCUGGAGGCACAGGUGCUAAACGGGGUAUUAAAGGACCAUGAAGAUUUUCUCCAUCUCUUGUUGAUUAACAGAGCCGUGAUGGUAACAGCUCCCCCCAGUCCCAAGCCCUGGAUUCUACCCUGCAUGGUCCUGACGGCUUGUUCCAUCCACACCAAUAUUUUAAAAGAAAAGGCAGUGGGCUCCCAGACAAAGUUAAAAAGGGCACCACAUUUGACUGCACAUCCCAGAGCAGGUUGGCUUAACCAAGGCCUUCCAACCAGGAGGACUGACAGCAAGCAAAAGCCUCCCCGAGGACACGCACAGAGAUGGUGCAGUGGCUGCUCCGGAAAGAUUUCUGUUGACAUUGUUUUGAUCAUGUUUUCAGAUUCUGAAACACUGGCGGCGUUUGUU